CUAUGGAGGAGGAGAGUCCCCGCCCGGCGCUGGAGAAAGAGGUAAGUUUAACCCCUUCCACCCCCUAUGAACAAGUAUGUUUUCCUGGCACUAUAGUGGUCCUUUAACUCAACAUUAUCUAAAAUGUUAGACCCAGCUGAGUUGGGGAUUUGUAUUGUUUUAUUUUUUAGUAUAAAAGUUUUCAUUUAGGCCUCAAUUUAUUAUUUU
Pelobates cultripes (western spadefoot toad) is the source of this 207-nucleotide non-coding RNA. The record is from the annotation of a GenBank genome assembly. NCBI's taxonomy places the organism in Eukaryota, Metazoa, Chordata, Amphibia, Anura, Pelobatidae.